Molecule: ribosomal RNA, 292 nt
Filed under: uncultured bacterium
Lineage: Bacteria
Description: partial 16S ribosomal RNA
Rfam family: Bacterial small subunit ribosomal RNA
Source: RNAcentral
GUGUCAGCCGCCGCGGUAAUACAGAGGGUGCAAGCGUUAAUCGGAAUUACUGGGCGUAAAGCGCGCGUAGGUGGUUCGUUAAGUUGGAUGUGAAAUCCCCGGGCUCAACCUGGGAACUGCAUCCAAAACUGGCGAGCUAGAGUAGGGCAGAGGGUGGUGGAAUUUCCUGUGUAGCGGUGAAAUGCGUAGAUAUAGGAAGGAACACCAGUGGCGAAGGCGACCACCUGGGCUCAUACUGACACUGAGGUGCGAAAGCGUGGGGAGCAAACAGGAUUAGAAACCCCUGUAGUCC